GCCAAGACUGGAGUCACAUCCUGACAUAGCUUAGCCUUUGUCCCGGUGUGGUGGAGUCCUCAGACAAUCUGCUGGUCUUCAUUCACUGGCUGAGGCAGUCAGUGUCCCUGUUAGUGCCCAAGUCAGAAACAGUC
This is a small nucleolar RNA of Jaculus jaculus (lesser Egyptian jerboa), 134 nucleotides long. RefSeq annotates it as small nucleolar RNA SNORA3/SNORA45 family. NCBI's taxonomy places the organism in Eukaryota, Metazoa, Chordata, Mammalia, Rodentia, Dipodidae. The transcript has a single exon. The record is from RefSeq and is a predicted model, not a curated record.